UACAUCCUUCCACUGCGCCGAUAUCUCUCCACUUCUUUUAUUCAGAUCGGUGCUUCAAAUCGCAGAUCCAAAUCAGGAUCUGCUGAUGAAAGUGCAAAAAUGGCUCAGAUUAUAACAAGUUGGUACAAAGGCCGGCUAAAGAUCGGUGAUUCUUGGAUUAGUCAGAAUCAUGUAUGGGUUCUCUUGAAAUGCGUUAAAUUGGAUUCAGUAGAAGUGUUUCUUUCCCCUUAUCCUUGUUAAACAUAUCGAACAUGGACGAGAAGAAAAACAACGCUUCGCGAAACCUCGUGAUAAAAGAAGGUGCAUUGUACGAGCCAUUAACAGCACCCUGGAUAAAGAUAGUGGGCUGCAUUUUCCAAAUAAGGUUCAACACUUUCCGCGUAAUUCGCGAGCCAACUGCCCGUCUCCUCGACCCGCUGGGACGGUUUGAAACCGGGACACGGGAAGUCAAUGCCGGUGAUUCGAAGCUCCGGUGGACCACCGGGCCGUUUCGAGAGACGUUGUAUGAAGCAUGGCCAUUGAAAGCCGUAAAGAAUACCGAAAUCGACUAUAUGCAGCUUCUUCUUGUUUUCGGCAAUAUGUAAAAUCAAUGUUUUAAAUACCGGUAUGAACCGGCCGGUUAUACCAGUUAAACCGGAUAUUGGACAUGAGUCCGGUACGAUAAGGCCGGUAAAACCCGAAUACGGUAUGUCUUAUGUACCGGCGGUAAAUCCGGUUCUACCGUUCAAACCGUUGAACCGGUUUGCAUUUUCUUAAGAUUUGAUUUCUUAAUUUUAAUAAAAUACGAUGUUAAGGUAAUAUUGUUCUUCCAUAUUUCCGGUAAUUAAUCUAGUGUCUUCUAUUCCA
RNAcentral lists this long non-coding RNA (846 nucleotides) under Helianthus annuus (common sunflower). The record is from RNAcentral. Lineage: Eukaryota; Viridiplantae; Streptophyta; Magnoliopsida; Asterales; Asteraceae.